UGGGGAAUAUUGCACAAUGGGCGCAAGCCUGAUGCAGCCAUGCCGCGUGUAUGAAGAAGGCCUUCGGGUUGUAAAGUACUUUCAGCGGGGAGGAAGGCGAUAAGGUUAAUAACCUUGUCGAUUGACGUUACCCGC
This 135-nucleotide ribosomal RNA is filed under the name uncultured bacterium. RNAcentral's name for it is "partial 16S ribosomal RNA". It matches the Rfam family "Bacterial small subunit ribosomal RNA", at positions 355 to 482 of the family's 1533-position model. The record is from RNAcentral.